UAUUAGGAUGGUGGCUCAACAUGAUGAGAAUAUUGAGCAGGUCAUCAUUCUAGAGACGAAGAAGGAGAUCGCCAUGGGGUGCAGCGACUGUGCUUGGAUGGCACUACAUGCGGCACCGGCUCCUCCAUCAUUGAUAACUGCUGCUGUUGUUGUGUUUGCUAGAGAUUGUGAACUACCUUCGUUAAUAUCUUCACCUACUGCACCAAGA
RNAcentral lists this long non-coding RNA (208 nucleotides) under Elaeis guineensis (African oil palm). RNAcentral describes it as "long non-coding RNA (EGUI_LNC012542)". The record is from RNAcentral. Lineage: Eukaryota; Viridiplantae; Streptophyta; Magnoliopsida; Arecales; Arecaceae.